RNAcentral lists this non-coding RNA (21 nucleotides) under Arabidopsis thaliana (thale cress). The record is from RNAcentral. Lineage: Eukaryota; Viridiplantae; Streptophyta; Magnoliopsida; Brassicales; Brassicaceae.
UAUAUAUACAUUUUUGCAGCC